UACGUAGGGUGCAAGCGUUGUCCGGAAUUAUUGGGCGGAAAGAGCUUGUAGGCGGUUUGUCGCGUCUGCUGUGAAAUUUCGGGGCUCAACCCCGAACUUGCAGUGGGUACGGGCAGACUAGAGUGUGGUAGGGGAGACUGGAAUUCCUGGUGUAGCGGUGAAAUGCGCAGAUAUCAGGAGGAACACCGAUGGCGAAGGCAGGUCUCUGGGCCACUACUGACGCUGAGAAGCGAAAGCAUGGGGAGCGAACAGG
RNAcentral lists this ribosomal RNA (253 nucleotides) under uncultured bacterium. RNAcentral's name for it is "partial 16S ribosomal RNA". It matches the Rfam family "Bacterial small subunit ribosomal RNA", at positions 524 to 776 of the family's 1533-position model. The record is from RNAcentral.